Molecule: non-coding RNA, 600 nt
Organism: Pelobates cultripes (western spadefoot toad)
Lineage: Eukaryota; Metazoa; Chordata; Amphibia; Anura; Pelobatidae
Source: the annotation of a GenBank genome assembly
GGUUAAUGUUGUGAAGCCGCCAUUAUGGAGGGCUCCGUUUGAUGUGACACACUGUGCCGCUCACACACGGUAUACUGACAGCACGCGCUCUAUUUAUAUCCAGUGAAGCCCUGCUCCGGGCCCCAGCACUCAGGGCCGGCCGAUGGACCCGGUAAAGUAGUGCUGGGAGGGAGGGGCCGGCACUACUUCCCAGCUCCCUCCGCGCGGGAGGGAAGAGAGCCACAGCCAGGCUGACUCCCAUCAGCCACAGCCAUCCUGUAUGUAUGUCUGUCAGUAUGUGUGUGUGUCUGUCAGUAUGUGUGUGUGUCUGUCAGUAUGUGUGUGUAUGUCAGUAUGUGUGUGUGUCUGUCAGUAUGUGUGUGUGUCUGUCAGUAUGUGUGUGUAUGUCUGUCAGUAUGUGUGUGUGUCUGUCAGUAUGUGUGUGUGUCUGUCAGUAUGUGUGUGUGUCUGUCUGUCAGUAUGUGUGUGUAUAUCUGUCAGUAUGUGUGUGUAUGUCUGUCAGUAUGUGUGUGUGUGUGUGUGUCUGUCAGUAUGUGUGUAUGUCUGUCAGUAUGUGUGUGUGUCUGUCAGUAUGUGUGUGUAUGACUGUCAGUAUGUGUG